UACGUAGGGGGCGAGCGUUGUCCGGAUUUAUUGGGCGUAAAGAGCGUGUAGGCGGCCAGGUAGGUCUGCUGUGAAAACUCGAGGCUCAACCUCGAGACGUCGGCGGAAACCAUCUGGCUAGAGUCCGGAAGAGGAGAGUGGAAUUCCGGGUGUAGCGGUGGAAUGCGUAGAGAUCCGGAAGAACACCGGUGGCGAAGGCGGCCUGCUGGGCUAUGGCUGACACUGAGGCGCGACAGCGUGGGGAGCAAACAGG
This 253-nucleotide ribosomal RNA is filed under the name uncultured bacterium. RNAcentral describes it as "partial 16S ribosomal RNA". It matches the Rfam family "Bacterial small subunit ribosomal RNA", at positions 524 to 776 of the family's 1533-position model. The record is from RNAcentral.